GACGAACGCUGGCGGCGUGCCUAAUACAUGCAAGUCGAACGAGAGCGACCGGUGCUUGCACUGGUCAAUCUAGUGGCGAACGGGUGAGUAACACGUGGGUAACCUGCCCAUCAGAGGGGGAUAACAUCCGGAAACGGAUGCUAAAACCGCAUAGGUCUUCGAGCCGCAUGGCUUGAAGAGGAAAAGAGGCGCAAGCUUCUGCUGAUGGAUGGACCCGCGGUGCAUUAGCUAGUUGGUGAGGUAACGGCUCACCAAGGCCGUGAUGCAUAGCCGUCCUGAGAGGGUGAUCGGCCACAUUGGGACUGAGACACGGCCCAAACUCCUACGGGAGGCAGCAGUAGGGAAUCUUCCGCAAUGGACGCAAGUCUGACGGAGCAACGCCGCGUGAGUGAAGAAGGUUUUCGGAUCGUAAAACUCUGUUGUUAGAGAAGAACAAGUGCUAGAGUAACUGUUAGCGCCUUGACGGUAUCUAACCAGAAAGCCACGGCUAACUACGUG
Molecule: ribosomal RNA, 498 nt
Filed under: uncultured bacterium
Lineage: Bacteria
Description: partial 16S ribosomal RNA
Rfam family: Bacterial small subunit ribosomal RNA
Source: RNAcentral